AUGGAAGGAGGAUUGUCUCUCCCAAAUUUUAUAUUUUAUUACUGGGCCGCUAACCUCCGCAUUGUUACGUUUCUGCUGGAUGACGCACUUCCGGCAUCCAGCUGGCUUAGUAUGGAGCAAGAGUGUCACCCCUUCUCUAUUGGCGCUGUGAUUUUGUCACCUGUCAAUCUGGAGAUGUCACUUUAUUGUAACAAUCCUAUUAUAUAUACACAUAGCACAGUCCGAAUCUGGAAGCAAAUUAAAGUCCACUUUGAGCUUAGACCAAUGUCAUUCAUGCUCCCUGUCGCCAGGAAUCCCUCCUUUGCCCCUUCUAACCUUGAUAACACCUUUGAGCGAUGGGGAGAGUUGGGGAUAAGUACCAUAGGGGAUUUAUACAUAGAAGGGACCUUUGCUUCCUUUGAGUUGCUGAGGGAAACUUAUAACCUUCCCAGAAGUAAUUUUUUCAGAUACCUACAAAUUAGAGACUACGUUAGGAAACACCUCCCAACAUUUGGGAAUGCCAAACCUUCCAUGUUUGACGGAUGCAUAAAAAUAUGCCCCACCUCCGAUAAACUGAUAUCGCGUCUAUAUGAUGCUUUUCAAUCUGUUAGCACACCUUCCACUGAUGCCAUCAACGCAAAAUGGGAGGAAGAACUAGGGACUGACAUCUCGGUGGCAGACCGGGAAGAGAGCUUGGAGUAUAUCCACACAUGCUCCAUUAAUUCCAGACAUCGUCUCAUACAAUUCAAGGUUUUACACAGAUUACACUAUUCCAAAACUAAACUGCAUAGGAUAUUUCCUGACACAUCCCCUGUGAUAAAUGUCAGGCUACGCAGGGUACACUACUCCACUGCUUUGCCCUAUGCUCUAGCUUGCAUGGUUAUUGGAGUGGAAUUUUUGGGAUCCUCUCUGAAGUUUGAGACUUCAAUAGAUCCAGACCCGCUUCUGUUAAUCCUGGGAGUAUCUGAGUCCCUAAACGGAUUAACCAACCCCCAAAAACAACUAAUCUCGUACGGUCUCAUCUCGGUAAAAAAACUAAUCUUGUUGUUUUGGAAGAGGGAAGCGCCCUCUACCAAAUUAUGGCUCAGUGAAUUGGCAAACACUGUACACUUAGAAAGAAUUAGAUAUAUUCUGAACAAUAAAUUAUCAACAUUUGAUCAAAUCUGGCAGCCUUUCCUCUCCUACUUGGACGAGUCGGCGCUGUGA
This 1185-nucleotide long non-coding RNA is filed under the name Oncorhynchus mykiss (rainbow trout). Its description in RNAcentral is "lncRNA (ENSOMYG00000066929.1)". The record is from RNAcentral. Lineage: Eukaryota; Metazoa; Chordata; Actinopteri; Salmoniformes; Salmonidae.